Molecule: ribosomal RNA, 585 nt
Filed under: Chryseobacterium sp. 424
Lineage: Bacteria; Pseudomonadati; Bacteroidota; Flavobacteriia; Flavobacteriales; Weeksellaceae
Also listed under: 7 other names
Description: bacterial SSU rRNA
Rfam family: Bacterial small subunit ribosomal RNA
Source: RNAcentral
GUAAAUUAGAGGUAGCUGGAAUAAGUAGUGUAGCGGUGAAAUGCAUAGAUAUUACUUAGAACACCAAUUGCGAAGGCAGGUUACCAUGAUUUAACUGACGCUGAGGGACGAAAGCGUGGGUAGCGAACAGGAUUAGAUACCCUGGUAGUCCACGCCGUAAACGAUGCUAACUCGUUUUUGGGGCGCAAGCCUCAGAGACCAAGCGAAAGUGAUAAGUUAGCCACCUGGGGAGUACGUUCGCAAGAAUGAAACUCAAAGGAAUUGACGGGGGCCCGCACAAGCGGUGGAUUAUGUGGUUUAAUUCGAUGAUACGCGAGGAACCUUACCAAGGCUUAAAUGGGAAAUGACAGGCUUAGAAAUAGGCUCUUCUUCGGACAUUUUUCAAGGUGCUGCAUGGUUGUCGUCAGCUCGUGCCGUGAGGUGUUAGGUUAAGUCCUGCAACGAGCGCAACCCCUGUCACUAGUUGCUAACAUUCAGUUGAGGACUCUAGUGAGACUGCCUACGCAAGUAGAGAGGAAGGUGGGGAUGACGUCAAAUCAUCACGGCCCUUACGCCUUGGGCCACACACGUAAUACAAUGGCCGGU